GACGAACGCUGGCGGCGUGCUUAACACAUGCAAGUCGAACGGGUCUGCCCUGUUUUUUGCGGGGUGGGUCAGUGGCGAACGGGUGAGUAACACGUGAGUAACCUGCCCCUCACUUCUGGAUAACCGCUUGAAAGGGUGGCUAAUACGGGGUGUUCUGGCUGUGCCGCAUGGUGUGGCUGGGAAAGAUUCACUUUUGUGGUGUUUUGGUGGGGGAUGGGCUCGCGGCCUAUCAGCUUGUUGGUGGGGUGAUGGCCUGCCAAGGCUUUGACGGGUAGCCGGCAUGAGAGGGUGGGCGGUCACACUGGGACUGAGAUACGGCCCAGACUCCUGCGGGAGGCAGCAGUGGGGGGUAUUGCACAAUGGGCGGAAGCCUGAUGCAGCGACGUCGCGGGAGGGAUGGAGGCCUUCGGGUUGUGAACCUCUUUCGCCGGUGAAGAAGGUCCUGCUCUUUGUGGUGGGGUUGACGGUAGCCGGGUUAUGAAGCGCCGGCUAACUACGUG
This 500-nucleotide ribosomal RNA is filed under the name uncultured bacterium. Its description in RNAcentral is "partial 16S ribosomal RNA". It matches the Rfam family "Bacterial small subunit ribosomal RNA", at positions 28 to 507 of the family's 1533-position model. The record is from RNAcentral.